This 408-nucleotide ribosomal RNA is filed under the name uncultured bacterium. RNAcentral's name for it is "partial 16S ribosomal RNA". It matches the Rfam family "Bacterial small subunit ribosomal RNA", at positions 28 to 526 of the family's 1533-position model. The record is from RNAcentral.
GACGAACGCUGGCGGCGUGCUUAACACAUGCAAGUCGAACGGAGUGGCGAACGGGUGAGUAACGCGUAAUCAACCUGCCCUUCAGGGGGGGAUAACAGUUGGAAACGACUGCUAAUACCGCAUACUGAAGGGGGGGAUGGCGUCGGAUUAGCUAGUUGGGGGGGUAACGGCCCACCAAGGGGAUGGUCAGCCGCCGGUCGGGUGGGAUUAACGGCCACAUUGGGACUGGGACACGGCCCAGACUCCUACGGGAGGCAGCAGUGGGGAAUCUUCCGCAAUGGACGAAAGUCUGACGGAGCAACGCCGCGUGGGUGAUGACGGCCUUCGGGUUGUAAAGCUCUGUUAAUCGGGACGCGGUACCGGAAUAGAAAGCCACGGCUAACUACGUGCCAGCAGCCGCGGUAAUAC